RNAcentral lists this ribosomal RNA (301 nucleotides) under uncultured bacterium. RNAcentral describes it as "partial 16S ribosomal RNA". It matches the Rfam family "Bacterial small subunit ribosomal RNA", at positions 509 to 809 of the family's 1533-position model. The record is from RNAcentral.
CAGCCGCCGCGGGAAUACGUAGGGUGCGAGCGUUAAUCGGAACUACUGGGCGUAAAGGACGCGUAGGCGGAUUAUCAAGUCUCUUGUGAAAUCUAACGGCUUAACCGUUAAACUGCUUGGGAAACUGAUAAUCUAGAGUAAGGGAGAGGCAGAUGGAAUUCUUGGUGUAGGGGUAAAAUCCGUAGAGAUCAAGAAGAAUACCCAUUGCGAAAGCGAUCUGCUGGAACUUAACUGACGCUAAUGCGUGAAAGCGUGGGGAGCAAACAGGAUUAGAUACCCCCGUAGUCCCUGUCUCUUAUAA